Acanthosepion pharaonis is the source of this 115-nucleotide non-coding RNA. The record is from the annotation of a GenBank genome assembly. Lineage: Eukaryota; Metazoa; Mollusca; Cephalopoda; Sepiida; Sepiidae.
UUACGGCCAUAUAGCUUCGAAACACCGGUUCCCGUACGAUCAUGGAAGUCAAAGCAGCAUCGAGCCCGGUCAUUACUUGAAUGGGUGUCCGCUUAGGAAAACCAGGUGUUGUAAG